This 178-nucleotide transfer-messenger RNA is filed under the name Thermocrinis sp. RNAcentral describes it as "partial transfer-messenger RNA". It matches the Rfam family "transfer-messenger RNA", at positions 186 to 374 of the family's 374-position model. Rfam says of the family: Bacterial tmRNA, also known as 10Sa RNA or SsrA, is named for its dual tRNA and mRNA-like properties. Its role is to liberate the mRNA from a stalled ribosome. The record is from RNAcentral. Lineage: Bacteria; Pseudomonadati; Aquificota; Aquificia; Aquificales; Aquificaceae.
GACAGGGGUGUAGGAAGGAAGGGUUGGCAGGGCUCUCCUUCCGAAACUUACCUGCCUUGUGGCUGUUUUGCCUGCCAGUGGGCGAACAGCCAUUAAAGACAAACACUGGCUAAGCCUGUAGAAGCCCUAAUAGCCGGGCUAUCCUCGGACGAGGGUUCGAUUCCCUCCGCCUCCACCA